This is an RNA transcript of Canis lupus familiaris (dog), 1819 nucleotides long. It is a transcript of the gene named phosphatidylinositol-4-phosphate 5-kinase like 1, with no coding region annotated. The transcript has 11 exons. NCBI's taxonomy places the organism in Eukaryota, Metazoa, Chordata, Mammalia, Carnivora, Canidae. The record is from RefSeq and is a predicted model, not a curated record.
AUGGCCGCACCGAGCCCGGGGCCCCGCGAGGUCCUGGCCCCCUCCCCAGAGGCUGGAUGCAGAGCAGCCACCUCGACCUCUGGCCGCUGUGGCCUCCUCUGGCGUCUCCGAGACAAGCAGGCUCGCAUUGGCCUGUUUGAGAUUGGCCCGGGGCAUGAGCUGCACCAGCUGACAUGCAUGAUGCAGGCAGGGCUGUGGGCUGCCACCCAGGUCUCCAUGGACCACCCAACCACAGGACCACCCACUGAGGAGGAUUUCUCUGAGGUCCUGACCCAGGUUCACGAGGGCUUCGAGCUGUGCACCCUGGCUGGCCCAGCCUUCUCCUGGCUGCGCCGCUCCCUAGGCCUGGCAGAGGAGGACUACCAGGCGGCGCUAGGCCCGGGUGGCCCCUACCUGCAGUUCCUCAGCACCUCCAAGAGCAAGGCCAGCUUCUUCCUGUCCCACGACCAACGCUUCUUCCUGAAGACCCAGCGGCGUCGGGAGGUGCGGGCGCUGCUCGCCCAUCUGCCCCGAUACGUGCAGCACCUGCAGCGGCACCCGCACUCGCUGCUUGCACGGUUGCUGGGAGUGCACAGUCUGCGGGUGGCUCGGGGAAAGAAGGAAUUCUUCAUCAUCAUGCUGAGCGUCUUCUACCCCGCCGGCCGCAUCUCUGAGAGGUACGAUAUAAAGGGCUGUGAGGUGAGCCGCUGGGUGGAGCCAGCCCCUGAGGGCAGCCCCCUUGUCCUGGUGCUGAAGGACCUCAACUUUCAAGGCAAGACCAUUGACCUAGGGCCCCAGCGGAGCUGGCUCAUCCACCAGAUGGAACUGGACACCGCCUUCCUCCGGGAGCUCAACGUGCUCGAUUACAGCCUUCUGAUGGCCUUUCAGCGUCUCCACGAAGAUGAGAGGGGCCCUGGCAGCAGCCUCAUCUUCCGCACAGCCAGGUCUGUGCGAGGGGCGCAGAGCCCCGAGGAGCCGGGAGCCCAGAACCGCCGGCUGCUGCCGGACUCCCCCAACGCCUUACACAUCCUGGACGGGCCGGAGCAGCGCUAUUUCCUGGGCCUCGUGGAUCUCGCUACUGUCUACGGGCUCCGCAAGCGGCUGGAGCACCUGUGGAAGACGCUGCGCUACCCGGGCCGGACCUUCUCCACCGUCAGCCCCGCCCGCUACGCCCGUCGCCUCUGCCAGUGGGUGGAAGCGCACACCGAGUGACCCGCGUCCGGACCGUGGGCGCGCGCGGGGAACCGGGGUUCCAGGCUGGCCCGGGCGGCCGGUCGGGCUCCCCUCGCCUGCCGUUCCUCCCUUUGGCCUCCAGAGGGCAGCAUCCCCUAACUAAAAACGAUGACGACACAGCCUCCUCCGGUGGUGAUGCCAUGUUUGGCUUUGUGCCAGGGACUCCCCCACAUUAGCUCAUCUCAUCCUCAAAAAACUGCUAUUACUUUCUUUUUACAGACCAUAAGAUGGAGGCUCAGGGGGUGAAGGGACUGAGCACGAGCAUUCAGCAAUAAAUGCUGGAACCAGGACUCGACUAUGCCUUUUGGACUCAGGAGCCUGUGUUCUUACUCACCAGUUCCCUGUCCUCAUGCUCCAGGGAAGGGGGGAGGCUGAAGGCUCCAGCCAAGCGCCUUUGCCGUCCAGAUGGGGAAACAGGCUCAGAGACUUUAAGGCGCUUACCCAUGGGAAACUACAGCCUGGCCUCUGACCCUGGUCCAAUCCAACCAUACCCAAGUGGGCCUUUCUUCUAGAGUUUCUCUGGGGCCUGGUUGUGUGACCAGGGCAAGGUGCUAAACCUCUCUAUGCCUCAGUGUUCUAAUCUGUAAAAUGAAAGGAUGAAAAUGGA